RNAcentral lists this ribosomal RNA (565 nucleotides) under uncultured Bacillus sp. RNAcentral describes it as "bacterial SSU rRNA". It matches the Rfam family "Bacterial small subunit ribosomal RNA", at positions 367 to 919 of the family's 1533-position model. Lineage: Bacteria; Bacillati; Bacillota; Bacilli; Caryophanales; Bacillaceae. The record is from RNAcentral.
CGCAAUGGACGAAAGUCUGACGGAGCAACGCCGCGUGAGUGAUGAAGGUUUUCGGAUCGUAAAGCUCUGUUGUUAGGGAAGAACAAGUGCGAGAGUAACUGCUCGCACCUUGACGGUACCUAACCAGAAAGCCACGGCUAACUACGUGCCAGCAGCCGCGGUAAUACGUAGGUGGCAAGCGUUGUCCGGAAUUAUUGGGCGUAAAGGGCUCGCAGGCGGUUUCUUAAGUCUGAUGUGAAAGCCCCCGGCUCAAACCGGGGAGGGUCAUUGGAAACUGGGAAACUUGAGUGCAAGAAGAGGAGAGUUGGGAAUUCCACGUGUAUCGGGUGAAAUGCGUAGAGAUGUGGAGGAACACCAGUGGCGAAGGCGACUCUCUGGUCUGUAACUGACGCUGAGGAGCGAAAGCGUGGGGACCGAACAGGAUUUAGAUACCCUGGUAGUCCACGCCGUAAACGAUGAGUGCUAAGUGUUAGGGGUUUCCGCCCCUUAGUGCUGCAGCUAACGCAUUAAGCACUCCGCCUGGGGAGUACGGUCGCAAGACUGAAACUCAAAGGAAUGACGGGGC